This 253-nucleotide ribosomal RNA is filed under the name uncultured bacterium. RNAcentral's name for it is "partial 16S ribosomal RNA". It matches the Rfam family "Bacterial small subunit ribosomal RNA", at positions 524 to 776 of the family's 1533-position model. The record is from RNAcentral.
UACGGGGGGAGCAAGCGUUGUUCGGAUUUACUGGGCGUAAAGAGCUCGUAGGCGGUCUGUCGCGUCGAAUGUGAAACCCCGAGGCUCAACCUCGGGUCUGCAUUCGAUACGGGCAGACUAGAGUUCGGUAGGGGAGUCUGGAAUUCCUGGUGUAGCGGUGAAAUGCGCAGAUAUCAGGAGGAACACCGGUGGCGAAGGCGGGACUCUGGGCCGAUACUGACGCUGAGGAGCGAAAGCGUGGGGAGCGAACAGG